AAACCGGUUUCCCCAACAGCCAGGAUAUGUUUAUCACCCUGGACCUGGAGCCAGUAACCCCCGAACUCACCCAAGGCGUGCUCCCAGACCCUGAGGGCACAAGGGACCUCUGCUGCAAAUGUUUCUCCUUCACAGAGGCUAGUGAAGAUUAGAAGGAGAAAACGGCAGACUUGGGAUGACAUGUUCACGGAGCUCCAGAUGUCCUCCCACGCUGACAGAGCACAGCAGAAUGCGUGGAGGCAGUCAAUGUCAGACUACAGAAAAGCACAGUAUGAACGAGAGGAGAGGUGGCGGGCUGAAUCACGGGAUGAACAGAGCAAGUGGCGGGCUGAAGAUGAUAGGUGGCGUCAGCUUGCAGACAGAAGGCAAGAGUCGAUGCUCCGGCUGCUGGAGCGUCAAACUGAUAUGCUCCAGCGUAUGGUUGAGCUGCAGGAAAGGCAGCAGGAGCAGAGACUGCCGCUACAGCCCCUGUGUAACCAACAGCCCUUCUCCCCAAGUACCAUAGCCUCCUCACCCAGACACCCAAGAACACGGUGGGGGGGGGCCCCCUCCGGCCACCCAGUCACUCCACCCCAGAUGAUUGCCCGAGCAUCAGAAGGCUGGCCUUCAAUAAGAGUUAAAGUUUUAAACUGCAGUGUGUCCUUUUCCUUCCCUCCUCCCCCACCCCUCCCGGGCUACCUUGGCAGUUAUCCCCCUAAUUGUGUGAUGAAUUAAUAAAGAAUACAUGAAUGUGAA
Long non-coding RNA from Malaclemys terrapin pileata, 735 nucleotides. RefSeq lists it as uncharacterized. The transcript is spliced from 2 exons. NCBI's taxonomy places the organism in Eukaryota, Metazoa, Chordata, Testudines, Emydidae. The record is from RefSeq and is a predicted model, not a curated record.